Molecule: ribosomal RNA, 553 nt
Filed under: uncultured Glomus
Lineage: Eukaryota; Fungi; Glomeromycota; Glomeromycetes; Glomerales; Glomeraceae
Description: SSU rRNA
Rfam family: Eukaryotic small subunit ribosomal RNA
Source: RNAcentral
UUGGAGGGCAAGUCUGGUGCCAGCAGCCGCGGUAAUUCCAGCUCCAAUAGCGUAUAUUAAAGUUGUUGCAGUUAAAAAGCUCGUAGUUGAAUUUCGGGAUCAAAUUGUUGGUCGUGCUUCAGUACGCACUGGCAUUAUUGGUUCUUACCUUCUGAAGAACCGCGAUGUCAUUAAUUUGGUGUCGUGGGGAAUCAGGACUGUUACUUUGAAAAAAUUAGAGUGUUUAAAGCAGGCGCACGCCUGAAUACAUUAGCAUGGAAUAAUGAAAUAGGACGUUUGAUUCUACUUUGUUGGUUUCUAGGAUCGACGUAAUGAUUAAUAGGGAUAGUUGGGGGCAUUAGUAUUCAAUUGUCAGAGGUGAAAUUCCUGGAUUUAUUGAAGACUAACUACUGCGAAAGCAUUUGCCAAGGAUGUUUUCAUUAAUCAAGAACGAAAGUUAGGGGAUCGAAGACGAUCAGAUACCGUCGUAGUCUUAACCAUAAACUAUGCCGACUAGGGAUCGGAUGAUGUUAAUUUUUUAAUGACUCAUUCGGCACCUUACGGGAAACCAAAG